UGAGGAAUCUGUCCAUCGGCGGGGGAUAGCCGGCCCAACGGCCGGGUAAUACCGCGUACGUCGGCGGGAGCGCAUGCUCCUGCCGGGAAAGCAGCAAUGCACCGAUGGAGGAUCUCGCGGCCUAUCAGCUUGUUGGUGAGGUAACGGCUCACCAAGGCUUCGGACGGGUAGCCGGCCUGAGGAGGGCGACCGGCCACACGUGGGACUGAGACACGGCCCAGACCUCCGUACGGGAGCAG
This 239-nucleotide ribosomal RNA is filed under the name uncultured bacterium. RNAcentral's name for it is "partial 16S ribosomal RNA". It matches the Rfam family "Bacterial small subunit ribosomal RNA", at positions 118 to 347 of the family's 1533-position model. The record is from RNAcentral.